This is a long non-coding RNA of Monomorium pharaonis (pharaoh ant), 743 nucleotides long. RefSeq lists it as uncharacterized. The transcript is spliced from 2 exons. NCBI's taxonomy places the organism in Eukaryota, Metazoa, Arthropoda, Insecta, Hymenoptera, Formicidae. The record is from RefSeq and is a predicted model, not a curated record.
AAGUCACGUGAGCGUUACUCUCUAUGAUAAUAUCGCGGCUCAUACAUGGGGGAUCAUGUUAUUCCACAGUCAUACGAUAUUAUCGUAACUAAUCGCUUCGUACUAUCUUCAAUCGCAUUCGAUUUCAUAUAAACUACGAUUUACGAUAAUUUAUACAAGAGAUACAUGGAAAAAUUUUACUGAAAGGUGAGACAAAACGGCGCUCAUCUGAACGUGCGUCUCUUUGAGUGACGAAAUCCUCAUGUCUCCUUGUAUCUUCGCGCGCCAAUCUUGUUUUCCAUCGAUGAUGUCUGCUUCUGCAUCGUUAUAUACACCGCGUGGCGAAGAUGUUACACGAUAUUAUAUAUGCACACUAUCCUCCUUUCCACGGCGAUCACCGUUAUUAGAACCGAGGAGAAAUGAGAAGACGCUGGACUACAUACGUAACGAAACGCCUGCAAUUUGCAGUAGUGAGUCGCUUGUCUUCACCUACUUCGACGGCUCUGCUACAAUACUAUGCUGACGAUGAUUUACGUGGGGUCAAACAGCGAAAGUAGUUACGACUGGUUCUGCGUAUCAAACUUUGACUUCGACUAAUUAAAGCAGGACUUUUUUCAUGGCGUGGAAGAUUAGAAGAUAAAUUCCCAAUAUGCUAUAUAUUACUAAAAAAUAACUGAUAUAUUAAUUGAAAAAAAAGUUCAAAAUCUAUAAUGUUGAAAGACUUGAAUGUUUAAAACGUUUAAAGCGUAUAUAAAGGAUAAAAA